UAGGAUGAAAUUAUUUAAGAUAUUUCUUUUACACGGAAAUGCGGCUGGUUUGGCCAUCCUAA
RNAcentral lists this transfer RNA (62 nucleotides) under Alectorobius microlophi. RNAcentral's name for it is "tRNA-Val". Lineage: Eukaryota; Metazoa; Arthropoda; Arachnida; Ixodida; Argasidae. The record is from RNAcentral.